RNAcentral lists this ribosomal RNA (379 nucleotides) under uncultured Synechococcus sp. RNAcentral's name for it is "bacterial SSU rRNA". It matches the Rfam family "Bacterial small subunit ribosomal RNA", at positions 367 to 762 of the family's 1533-position model. The record is from RNAcentral. Lineage: Bacteria; Bacillati; Cyanobacteriota; Cyanophyceae; Synechococcales; Synechococcaceae.
CGCAAUGGGCGAAAGCCUGACGGAGCAACGCCGCGUGAGGGAUGAAGGCCUCUGGGCUGUAAACCUCUUUUCUCAAGGAUGAAGAUCUGACGGUACUUGAGGAAUAAGCCACGGCUAAUUCCGUGCCAGCAGCCGCGGUAAUACGGGAGUGGCAAGCGUUAUCCGGAAUUAUUGGGCGUAAAGCGUCCGCAGGCGGCCUUGUAAGUCUGUCGUUAAAGCGUGGAGCUUAACUCCAUUUCAGCGAUGGAGACUACAAGGCUUGAGUGUGGUAGGGGCAGAGGGAAUUCCCGGUGUAGCGGUGAAAUGCGUAGAUAUCGGGAAGAACACCAGUGGCGAAGGCGCUCUGCUGGGCCUAUACCCUGCCUGCGAACGAUGGGGA